RNAcentral lists this ribosomal RNA (492 nucleotides) under uncultured bacterium. Its description in RNAcentral is "partial 16S ribosomal RNA". It matches the Rfam family "Bacterial small subunit ribosomal RNA", at positions 29 to 507 of the family's 1533-position model. The record is from RNAcentral.
AGUGAACGCUGGCGGUAGGCCUAACACAUGCAAGUCGAACGGCAGCACAGUAAGAGCUUGCUCUUACGGGUGGCGAGUGGCGGACGGGUGAGGAAUACAUCGGAAUCUACUUUUUCGUGGGGGAUAACGUAGGGAAACUUACGCUAAUACCGCAUACGACCUACGGGUGAAAGCAGGGGAUCUUCGGACCUUGCGCGAUUGAAUGAGCCGACGUCGGAUUAGCUAGUUGGCGGGGUAAGGGCCCACCAAGGCGACGAUCCGUAGCUGGUCUGAGAGGAUGAUCAGCCACACUGGAACUGAGACACGGUCCAGACUCCUACGGGAGGCAGCAGUGGGGAAUAUUGGACAAUGGGCGCAAGCCUGAUCCAGCCAUACCGCGUGGGUGAAGAAGGCCUUCGGGUUGUAAAGCCCUUUUGUUGGGAAAGAAAAGCAGCAGGUUAAUACCCCGCUGUUCUGACGGUACCCAAAGAAUAAGCACCGGCUAACUUCGUG